GGGAACAAACAUGCCCGCCAUCUCUGUUUCCUUUUACUUUGAGUCUGAGGCCUGGUCCACGUGGAAUACUUAACUAACCCGUGGAAAGAGGAAGCUGGAGUCCUUUGCUGCUCUCCUUGGGAAGCCGGGAAACUGUCACUGCUGUUCACAGCUUGCCCUUCAGGCUCCUGCAGAUCCCUGGAGUCACAAGGCCACCACAUCCCACCCACUUGGUUCAUGUUCUUGGAGCCCAGCAAUGGUUCACUCCCCCUUCCCGGCCACCCUCAACACAACGACCAGGUUCCUACCAUGAUAUGAUGUGACAAAGUCUGGGUGCAGAGCUGUGUACCCUGUGCCAAGGCACCUGCAUUUUUAGAAUUAUGCAUCUACCACUGACUGCUGAGGAUACAGGAAAAUGCCAAUGGCUAGUUGGUUUUAAGUGCUG
Cavia porcellus (domestic guinea pig) is the source of this 424-nucleotide long non-coding RNA. RefSeq lists it as uncharacterized. The record is from RefSeq and is a predicted model, not a curated record. The transcript has 3 exons. NCBI's taxonomy places the organism in Eukaryota, Metazoa, Chordata, Mammalia, Rodentia, Caviidae.